AAGUAAUCCACAUUAUUUACUGCUGAAUGUGGCUGUAAUUGGCAGUCCACCUGAUUUGCCAUUGAAUGGGACUGCAAGUGGAAACCAACUUCGUUUACAUUUGAAACUGUGUCCUGACCAACAGGCCCAAUUUCACUCCAAAAGAGGGCAGCAUCAUGGUACAGAUCAAGCUCGCUCAGUCCAUCAAAAUUAUCAAGCCCCAAGUUCUCUGCAGUUUUCUCGGUGUUCAAUGAAGUAGGUUCUGGACCAAUGAGAUCAUCAAUUUCCAGGAAAUCAUCUUCACAAAGUUGCUGUGCCCCUUCAGAGCUAUGAGGACCAGAUGCAACUUCGGGCACCUCAAGCAACUGAAAUGUCGAGGUAGCUGACCCGUUGAAGUCCAAGCUUUCCUGCUGGACACUUGUAG
Molecule: unclassified non-coding RNA, 403 nt
Filed under: Hevea brasiliensis (rubber tree)
Lineage: Eukaryota; Viridiplantae; Streptophyta; Magnoliopsida; Malpighiales; Euphorbiaceae
Source: RNAcentral